This 72-nucleotide transfer RNA is filed under the name Camelus bactrianus (Bactrian camel). It matches the Rfam family "tRNA". From Rfam's summary of the family: Transfer RNA (tRNA) molecules are approximately 80 nucleotides in length. Lineage: Eukaryota; Metazoa; Chordata; Mammalia; Artiodactyla; Camelidae. The record is from Rfam by way of RNAcentral. RNAcentral also lists the same sequence under 2 other names.
GAGGGUAUAGCUUGCUGGCAGAGCUCAUGUCUAGCAUGCAUGAGGUCCUGGGUUCAGUCCCCAGUACGUUCA